AGGGAAUCUUCCGCAAUGGGCGAAAGCCUGACGGAGCAACGCCGCGUGAGUGAUGAAGGUCUUCGGAUCGUAAAACUCUGUUAUUAGGGAAGAACAAAUGUGUAAGUAACUAUGCACGUCUUGACGGUACCUAAUCAGAAAGCCACGGCUAACUACGUGCCAGCAGCCGCGGUAAUACGUAGGUGGCAAGCGUUAUCCGGAAUUAUUGGGCGUAAAGCGCGCGUAGGCGGUUUUUUAAGUCUGAUGUGAAAGCCCACGGCUCAACCGUGGAGGGUCAUUGGAAACUGGAAAACUUGAGUGCAGAAGAGGAAAGUGGAAUUCCAUGUGUAGCGGUGAAAUGCGCAGAGAUAUGGAGGAACACCAGUGGCGAAGGCGACUUUCUGGUCUGUAACUGACGCUGAUGUGCGAAAGCGUGGGGAUCAAACA
Molecule: ribosomal RNA, 426 nt
Filed under: uncultured Staphylococcus sp.
Lineage: Bacteria; Bacillati; Bacillota; Bacilli; Caryophanales; Staphylococcaceae
Description: bacterial SSU rRNA
Rfam family: Bacterial small subunit ribosomal RNA
Source: RNAcentral